ACUUCUGCUCGGCCAUUCAACUAAUUAGGCUCCGAAUUACGCCAAUGGCACUUUUAAGGUUUGCGCAAGUCCUCUCGUUGGAAGGCUGCGAAGGUAUUAACAGUAGUAAAUUGUUUUAAGUAUGCGUCCCGAGGUAAUUUCGAUUAUGCGCGUUUAAUCCGUAAAAAAGAUUAUUUUUAUUGGUUUCCUCGGUAAUCUCAUUUCACUGUAUGCCGCAUUCUCUUGAUUUUCUAUCAGAAUUAUUCCAUUUUUGAAUUAAUACGAAUUUUGUUGUUCCCGUCACCAAAGUAGAAUGAACAGGUGAAUCUAACGGAAACAGUUGCGAAAGAAACGAUAUGGCCAAGUUUGUCUUCAGACUCGACAUGCCUGGCGCUUAAACAUCCCAGUCGCGAUCUUGCUAAUUAUUAUUAGGUAACGCGCGUUAGACUAUGUAUGCGAAAAUAAUGAACAGUGCCUACUGUUUCUAUUCGUCAGUAUAAAUUUCUCGCUCGCCUAGUUAGGCGUGUUCCAAUUGAAUAGGAACACCGUCGAGCAUUCUGUUUUUUUUUUGUCUUCGUUGACGUAUACUUAUCAACGGAUCGCACUCGUCGAUCUUAUAUGGAAAUAAUAUCGAGUGUUUCCAUCUACAAACCGCAAUUAUUAAGCCGCUUUGGAGUAUAAAGCCUGGUUUCUAGAUCAACACAACGGUUCGACGAAGGUCAGGCGACUAAUCAUGCCGAGGAAUGCAAUCUGUCCGCGAUUCGUCGAGGCCUCCCGUAAUUAGACAAACCACUGAUGACACUGUGUUCCAAUUACGAACAACACAUUGAGUUUAUUCAUAAAUCUAUAUUAACUCUUCGCUAAAUUCUCCCAGAGUGUCCGUGGGGGCUGUUAUGGGGUUGUACGAACAUCCCCAUUUGGAAUGAAAGGUUCUGUUCUUAAAUUUUCUUAAAACAUUUUCUUUGUUGACGAUAUAAUUUAGUGAUAACUUGAGAGAAGUACGCAAAGAUAAUUUAUCUGCAAUCACGUACAAUCGAAUCACAAAUUCGUCGAAUUUGAAUCACAUUGCUGUCGAAUUGUUUCGAGAUACGUAACUUCCGGUAUGUGAACCGAGAAUGAAUUUUGGGACCGAAGGACAACGAACUCGCACUUCCAUUCCGUGAUACAUAGCUGUUAGUCAUCGCUGUAUCGUCAUCUAUGAUUCUGAAACGCGUAACGCCCGAAGGCAUUCUAAUGUGGCAAUAGUUAUUGGCUUGUGUUCUCUGUAGAAUCACGUCAUUGCACUCGUAUCAGCGACAAAAGUAUCGUAAACAAAUGUGUCAGCGUGCUACGCUAAGCUUAGGCUUGUCAAUAGAACUGAUGGGGAGCCGAACUUGACAUCGCACGAGGUUUCUUCGUCGGUUCUUACUCGAUAAAUUGCAUUCGUGACGUAUCCUUGCCGAGAUGACCCAGUUACGAGCUCGAACCCCUUGAAAUCGUACGUACGAGAAUUUAUCGAGUGCGACUGAAGGCCGUCGAGAGAAUCUUUUCCGACGGCGCGGCGGCGAGUGGAUAGGUAAUGAGAACAUCGAAGAUUCGAACGCCCGCCAUCGCGUGGAUAGAUGAAACGUGAAUCGUGAUCACGACCUGAUCUGACAAUUGAAAUGCAACAAAUGUCGCCAGUGAGAUUCGCUUGUAAACAUUGAAUUAAAUAUGGACUUUUAUAUUGCCUAAGACACCUAAAAAGUGACAUAUUUCUCGGUUUCUUUUUAUCUUAACGAACCAUGCGGAUUCAUAGAAAUAAUUCGAUGUAUAAUAUAAUAUUGCUUGUAUAUAACCUUAUAGUAUUUUAUUUUCAUAUAAAUUCAAAUCAUUAUAAUAAAUCGUAUGGAUCCAAGGCCGCGCUAUUUGCAAGUAUUG
Molecule: long non-coding RNA, 1878 nt
Organism: Hylaeus anthracinus
Lineage: Eukaryota; Metazoa; Arthropoda; Insecta; Hymenoptera; Colletidae
Exons: 3
Source: RefSeq, a predicted model, not a curated record